GAAGAUUUGAGGACGGAAUUGGAUAUGUGUACCAAUAUGAAACUCCGGCUGGAUCUGAAAUUGAGGUGGACUCAAACAAUACUCCAAUAGCCUACCGUGGCAUGAACAAGCCUUUUGAGGCACAUCUCUCUGAUAAGGUGAUAAAUGUGAACAACAGUGCUGUCAUCCUCUCUGAAUGCCUGAAUCUGACAUUCACAUUCUUUCAUGUUCUACAGGGCAAGGUUGAGGAGUGCCAUUUGUAUUACAUUGUUGCAGGUAAAAAAUGAUGUUCCUAUUUUCUUUCAUUUUAAACUUCUUGCACUUUCAUAUUGGUACAUAUAUCCAAGGCAGUUAACGCUAAUUUCUCUGGAUAAGAGCGUCUGCUGAAAUGUAAAAAACGUAGACUGACAAUUCAACUGACAUUUUAAUUUACAAUCCGACUGACACCUCGAACAACACAUCAGGUAAGUACUCUUAACUACUAUAAAGACAGCUAAUUACUGUCUAUAGUAUCUCCAUCUGUAAUAAAGUACAUAUUCAAUUGAAAUGACUUUACUCUCUGAUUAAACUCAGGAAAUGGAGACAGAGCCAAAGCCACUAGCCACACAAAGGAAAUCACUGGUGAGUGUUUCCAUAUUGUUUCUUUUGUUUGACAUUCUACUGUCACCACAGCUCCUUCUUCUUUUUCUUCUGAACCCAAUUAUGGACAAAUGCGAUAAGACAAACAAACCCCUAACUAAAUCAGCAAGAGUUUUGAACAGUCUGGGUUCAGAAUGUGGACUAGUUGAUGUCUGGCGUGAGGUCAAACCUCAAGCCAAAGAUGAUACUUUUCUAAUGUACCCAACUCAUAUUCCAGAAUAGACUACUUAUUUUUCCCCAACAGCUAUCUGCUGUGAACAGUUGCUCUAUUGGUACGUUUGACUUAUACAAUCAUGUCAAAAUAUAUUUA
This is a long non-coding RNA of Oncorhynchus mykiss (rainbow trout), 928 nucleotides long. RefSeq lists it as uncharacterized. NCBI's taxonomy places the organism in Eukaryota, Metazoa, Chordata, Actinopteri, Salmoniformes, Salmonidae. The record is from RefSeq and is a predicted model, not a curated record.